This 390-nucleotide ribosomal RNA is filed under the name Triticum aestivum (bread wheat). RNAcentral describes it as "partial small subunit ribosomal RNA". Lineage: Eukaryota; Viridiplantae; Streptophyta; Magnoliopsida; Poales; Poaceae. The record is from RNAcentral.
AUGGCUCGUAAGCAGCUGAAUCUGACCGCGUCAGUCGGCGGUCGAGCAGACAGCAGCAACUGCGCUGCUCCUGCUCGUUGGAGUGGCGCCCGUGGCAACACCACCGCCGCGGCUGCACCCCUGCCGGCCUCGGGAACCUCCAUGGCUGACCUCACACAGCGCCGCCCCGUUCUGGCCUCAAACGCGGCGAAGGAGGUCCUGGGCGAGGGAGGCGCGGACGGCGGCGAAGAGAAGGGCCGCCGGGAGUGGUCGCGAGUCGACCACCUCGCAGUCGCCGGGGAUCUGGAGGCCGGCCGGCGGAGAUCACCAUAUCUGUUUUCUAUUUCUAUCAGGCGGCGGAUGCGGUGGGUUGGGGGCGACGGGGGUGUUGCGUCCGUCCGGGUCCUAUGA